This 934-nucleotide ribosomal RNA is filed under the name Bipolaris maydis (southern corn leaf blight pathogen). RNAcentral's name for it is "partial large subunit ribosomal RNA". It matches the Rfam family "Eukaryotic large subunit ribosomal RNA", at positions 21 to 972 of the family's 3401-position model. The record is from RNAcentral. Lineage: Eukaryota; Fungi; Ascomycota; Dothideomycetes; Pleosporales; Pleosporaceae.
UUUACCCGCUGAAACUUAAGCAUAUCAAUAAGCGGAGGAAAAGAAACCAACAGGGAUUGCCCUAGUAACGGCGAGUGAAGCGGCAACAGCUCAAAUUUGAAAUCUGGCUCUUUCAGAGUCCGAGUUGUAAUUUGCAGAGGGCGCUUUGGCUUUGGCAGCGGUCCAAGUUCCUUGGAACAGGACGUCACAGAGGGUGAGAAUCCCGUACGUGGUCGCUAGCUAUUGCCGUGUAAAGCCCCUUCGACGAGUCGAGUUGUUUGGGAAUGCAGCUCUAAAUGGGAGGUAAAUUUCUUCUAAAGCUAAAUAUUGGCCAGAGACCGAUAGCGCACAAGUAGAGUGAUCGAAAGAUGAAAAGCACUUUGGAAAGAGAGUCAAACAGCACGUGAAAUUGUUGAAAGGGAAGCGCUUGCAGCCAGACUUGCUUGCAGUUGCUCAUCCGGGCUUUUGCCCGGUGCACUCUUCUGUAGGCAGGCCAGCAUCAGUUUGGGCGGUGGGAUAAAGGUCUCUGUCACGUACCUCUCUUCGGGGAGGCCUUAUAGGGGAGACGACAUACCACCAGCCUAGACUGAGGUCCGCGCAUCUGCUAGGAUGCUGGCGUAAUGGCUGUAAGCGGCCCGUCUUGAAACACGGACCAAGGAGUCUAACAUCUAUGCGAGUGUUUGGGUGUCAAGCCCGAGCGCGUAAUGAAAGUGAACGGAGGUGGGAACCCGCAAGGGUGCACCAUCGACCGAUCCUGAAGUUUACGGAAGGAUUUGAGUAAGAGCAUGGCUGUUGGGACCCGAAAGAUGGUGAACUAUGCUUGAAUAGGGUGAAGCCAGAGGAAACUCUGGUGGAGGCUCGCAGCGGUUCUGACGUGCAAAUCGAUCGUCAAAUUUGGGCAUAGGGGCGAAAGACUAAUCGAACUAUCUAGUAGCUGGUUCCUGCCGAGUUUCCC